CCUACGGGGCGCAGCAGUGAGGAAUAUUGGUCAAUGGACGAGAGUCUGAACCAGCCAAGUAGCGUGAAGGAUGACUGCCCUAUGGGUUGUAAACUUCUUUUAUAUGGGAAUAAAAUGUUCCACGUGUGGGAUUUUGUAUGUACCAUAUGAAUAAGGAUCGGCUAACUCCGUGCCAGCAGCCGCGGUAAUACGGAGGAUCCGAGCGUUAUCCGGAUUUAUUGGGUUUAAAGGGAGCGUAGGUGGAUUGUAAAGUCAGUUGUGAAAGUUUGCGGCUCAACCGUAAAAUUGCAGUUGAAACUGGCAGUCUUGAGUACAGUAGAGGUGGGCGGAAUUCGUGGUGUAGCGGUGAAAUGCUUAGAUAUCACGAAGAACUCCGAUUGCGAAGGCAGUUCACUGGACUGCAACUGACACUGAGGCUCGAAAGUGUGGGUAUCAAACAGGAUUAGAUACCCCAGUAGUC
This 460-nucleotide ribosomal RNA is filed under the name uncultured bacterium. Its description in RNAcentral is "partial 16S ribosomal RNA". It matches the Rfam family "Bacterial small subunit ribosomal RNA", at positions 338 to 795 of the family's 1533-position model. The record is from RNAcentral.